Corapipo altera (White-ruffed manakin) is the source of this 602-nucleotide long non-coding RNA. RefSeq lists it as uncharacterized. The transcript is spliced from 3 exons. NCBI's taxonomy places the organism in Eukaryota, Metazoa, Chordata, Aves, Passeriformes, Pipridae. The record is from RefSeq and is a predicted model, not a curated record.
GGGGUGGCAGCGGCACUCGAAGCCGCCCAUGGUGUUGACGCAGAGCUGCUCGCACAGCCCGGGCUCGCUGGCGCAGUCGUCGUUGUCCUCGCAGGAGCUGCCGUCGGCGCCCAGCCUCCUCCCGGGGCACCAGGGGUCCCACUCCCAGGGUAUCAUCUCCCUUUCCCUGUGGGCACCUCCAGCUGUCCCAUUCCCUGUGUUAUCUUUGGGGGAUCUGUCUCUGCUGCCAGGACACAGCCAGGAGGCAAAGUAAAAAUGAAAACCAAACAUCCAAAGCUUCUCCGCCCCAAAGGAAAGGCUUCAGCUCUGCCACACGCUUGGAAAAUCAGCGUCCAUUGGAUUUAAUUCCAGAGGCAGGGAUGCAGCCCAAGGAGAAAGGCCGGAGGGACAGAUUGGUGUCCAUGUGUGUGAGCUUGCAGUGGCCGUUCCUGGGAUAAAGAAUUCAUCCAAGGAGAGCUCAGCCACCCCCCAUCCCCUCAAAAUGAGGACAGGAUCAUUCCCAGGGCUUCCCUGGAGAGCUGGGUAACACUGACCUUCCUUGGCUUUAGUAAAACCUCUUGCUUCCCCAGUUUUCACUUCAGUUCUUCUUUUCACUUUCAAUU